UAGGUUACAGGUGGCUGUAUGGCUUUUUGAAAUAAUCGCAGUUGCAUAUAAGCAUGCCUCAAGUUUAAAAUUUUACAUGCAAAAAAGGUUUAUAUUACAUAUGAAAAAUUAACAUCAGAUUUCCGCAAUUUCCCACAGUUAAUGUCGACUAACGCUGGAUGUGGUAGUCAUCGACACUCGACGAGCCUUUAGAUUUCUAACACCAAAAUAUUGUCUUGUGUUCGUUUAAAAACUACGAUAAUUACGUUCACAUGGUCGAUAGGAUAUGACAGGCGUUGUAUGAUUAGCACAUUAACCAAAGAUAAUUCUAGAGGGUCUUCUCAAGUCUAAGAAGACACAAUACAUAUAAAUAUUGGAUAAAUGUAAUUGUAAUAUAUUUUAAAUUAUGUUUAUCGCCUUGAUAACUGUAUGUAUAAUGAAUGUUGGACCUCUAAGCCAUAAUUUCAUAAUUCUUUUCCAAAAUCUUUUAUUCAAUACUUGUGCUAGUUAAAAUAAACAGCAACCGUGUUA
Molecule: long non-coding RNA, 510 nt
Organism: Xenia sp. Carnegie-2017
Lineage: Eukaryota; Metazoa; Cnidaria; Anthozoa; Malacalcyonacea; Xeniidae
Exons: 2
Source: RefSeq, a predicted model, not a curated record